CUACGGGGCCAGCAGUGAGGAAUAUUGCACAAUGGGGGGAACCCUGAUGCAGCAACGCCGCGUGGAGGAUGACGCAUUUCGGUGUGUAAACUCCUUUUAUAUGUCAAGAAAAUGACGGUAGCAUAUGAAUAAGCACCGGCUAACUCCGUGCCAGCAGCCGCGGUAAUACGGAGGGUGCAAGCGUUACUCGGAAUCACUGGGCGUAAAGGACGCGUAGGCGGGUUGGAAAGUCAGGUGUGAAAUCCUACAGCUUAACUGUAGAACUGCACUUGAAACUUCUAAUCUAGAGUAUGGGAGGGGGAGAUGGAAUUAGUGGUGUAGGGGUAAAGUCCGUAGAUAUCACUAGGAAUACCUAAAGCGAAGGCGAUCUCCUGGAACAUUACUGACGCUAAGGCGUGAAAGCGUGGGGAGCAAACAGGAUUAGAUACCCCUGUAGUC
RNAcentral lists this ribosomal RNA (438 nucleotides) under uncultured bacterium. RNAcentral's name for it is "partial 16S ribosomal RNA". It matches the Rfam family "Bacterial small subunit ribosomal RNA", at positions 339 to 795 of the family's 1533-position model. The record is from RNAcentral.